CUUCUAAUUAGAAAGUAAAUGUUGCCUAAGACACUGAGGCGGUAAAUAUGGAGCGUGGUGCCAUGCAUGUGUAAUUGAUUUCCUGCUCUCAAUUUCCAAAGGAUAACAGUGAAGAUGAAUUAUUCAGAGCGUCCUCACCUCUCAGUGGAUGGAUGACCUUUAAGAAGGACUUUAGCCACGCUUGUUAGUACCUGACUGAUAAACUCAGACCUUUCAAAGAGCUCUGAAAUUCACGGGGUGAAAUAUGAAAUCUGAGAGAUUAUUUUUGAUGCCGGCUUGUCCGUUCUCGUCUUCAUGCACUCGCUUUGGCGGGAUGUGGAAAACUCAAUUUGCCAUGAAAAUCUGCAAGACAUAUCGCAUUAGGUCGGACUGAUUGUAAACUUCUCACACGGGUGCAAACUGAAGUGAAAUGAAUUUAUCAUUUUGGUUCCGCCACGAGAUUCAUGCCAGACGAAUGAAGUGGUGCUGUCACUUGCAUUUAGGCCUUUGAACAUCGAUCCAGUCAGAGAAAGCCAACCACCUGAGGAGAUGAAGACGGCUGAGCAAACUUGCUUAUAAACACUUCUUAUUAAGUUGGAUUCUUUUUUUUUUUUACAUCACAAAGAGCGGUUGUUUUAUCCUUUUAAAUCCCCAGCUUUGUCAACAUGACUUUUAUUGUUCAGCAGUUGCUCCAUUAAUGCACUCUCUAACACUACGCAGAAGAAGAAAAAGAAGCUAAAGUGAGUGUCUCUAGAUAGCUGGAACUGCAAUAUUCCCACCAUCAGUCUGAAAGAGAAUAAAACAUUUGCCCACUACACAUGGUUUCCUUCCCAAGUGAAAUUCCCAGACUGCUGACUGUAUAAAAUUCAACAACACUAUCUUCCUUUCAUGCAUUUUUGAGAAGAGCAAAGGGAUCCGGAGGCUAGCGUCACUUUGAUCGUUCACUGGUUGGUUGGUUUGUUUGUUUGCUUUUCUGAAGCCCGGCACUCUAUUUUCCCCUCUUUUUUACGAUGAAUUGAUAAACCAUCUGCUCCAGUGACAGUUCAGAGCAGAGUGUCAUCAACUCAGAUUCAUGCAGAUGCUACUGUCAGGCUGCCAGCCGGAGAACCAGAGACACGUCGUACUGCAAAUUGUUUGUGUGUACGUGUGUGUAGGGGUGUUUACCACAGAACAGUGUGUGCACUCUUCCUAUAUUACCAUUUAUCUAUAAGACUAAAUGCACACUUCACUAGCUGUGUCCCAAUUCAG
Long non-coding RNA from Astatotilapia calliptera (eastern happy), 1227 nucleotides. NCBI's taxonomy places the organism in Eukaryota, Metazoa, Chordata, Actinopteri, Cichliformes, Cichlidae. The record is from Ensembl.